GAGAUCUGUCCACCAGGCGUGACCCUGCUGGUAUUUGAAAUACUGGCAGCAUAGCUUUCAACGUCACAGCCACAUGUAGCCACCAG
Molecule: non-coding RNA, 86 nt
Organism: Ceratotherium simum simum (southern white rhinoceros)
Lineage: Eukaryota; Metazoa; Chordata; Mammalia; Perissodactyla; Rhinocerotidae
Source: RefSeq, a predicted model, not a curated record